Molecule: long non-coding RNA, 226 nt
Filed under: Pongo abelii (Sumatran orangutan)
Lineage: Eukaryota; Metazoa; Chordata; Mammalia; Primates; Hominidae
Description: lincRNA
Source: RNAcentral
CAUUGACCUGAUGCUAAGGCUGGAGUGCAGUGGCAUGGUCUCAGCUGACUGCAACCUCCACCUCCCGGGUUCAAGUUAUCCUCCCACCUCACGCUCCCAAGUAGCUGGGACUGCAGGGCCCAGCGUGUCUCUGCAGGAAGGCAGGGCAUCCCAGGAUAUCACCAGCUCCUCUAGGAGUACAGGAGCCAAGGAGCUGCUGAGAUCUGCUGAUCACCCACUCACUCCA